ACAAUUUAUUUGUUUCCGCCCUCAAAUCCCUAUCUCCAAAUCCCUCUUCCUCUCUCGCUUUUGAGAGAAAACCCGGAUCCCCAGCUCGAUCACUUCUUCCCCAAAUUCAAACUCAAUAUUGGUUCAGCGGCAAGAUCCCCCUAAAGUUCGAUUGAUUGAAGCUCCUCUUCGAGCUCAAUGUCAGCAACAAUCGAUUUGCCGGGAAAUUUCCUAGGGUAGUUCUCCGGCUGCCGUCAUUGAGGUACCUAGAUCUGAGAUACAACAAAUAUCGUUGCUUUGAGUUCACUUCCGAGUGGCAAACUUCAAGCGUCGAAAACUUUAGAAAUCUCCUUGAUUACAGCUUUAUUGUAGGUAGGGGGAGAUUAAGAUGUCUGAGAAUGGAUUUGAAAAUGAGGAGAAGGAUGAUUUAGAUCACGGCGUCACGGAGAAAGAUGCUUCCUUGUUGGGCAAGUGGAGCAUUGGAUCCAGAAAGCACUGCUUCUCAUGACCUUGUUACAUCUGUAAAGAGUUUCGAGCUCUAUCUGAUCAAUUUUACCGCACUCCUAAACACCACAAGUUUGUAUGACAACAAGUCAUCACUCAGGUCUGUCCAUCAUUGCCAACAGCUAUAUUAACUUGUUUCAUUUCGAUUGUUUGUCCUACUCCACUGAUGAAAAGGGCACCGAAGAUCGUACUUAACCUACGGUGAUGCACGAAGAUUUCAAUGAAGGCAUCAUUCAAGUUCAAGCCAAGAAGAAAUCCAGCUUGAAUUAUUAUGCUUAAUAGAGUGAUCGCAUUUUGUUAUGGACAGUGCAGAGUUUAAAGCACAUGGUUGCUGCGAUGAACCCUAAGACCUGUUUCCUACCAGGGACCGAUCCAUAUAUACCCAGUUAAUGUGGAGGAGCUCAUGACCCGACUUUAUACAGAAGUCUAUGUAUAACUUUAGCGUUGUAUUUUCACUUAACAUUGUAGACGUCUUUAGUAUUUUCGUUAGUUUUUUUUUUUAAAUCUGGGUUGAAAUAUAGUUCAUCUGAGUUUUGUUGUCGCCAUGACCUUGUACUGAUAUUAUUUGGCACCGCUGUUUGUUUCCAAGUUUCAACCUAUAAUUGAAAUGUCCAUCAUUGCCAACAA
Long non-coding RNA from Asparagus officinalis (garden asparagus), 1110 nucleotides. RefSeq lists it as uncharacterized. The transcript has 5 exons. The record is from RefSeq and is a predicted model, not a curated record. Lineage: Eukaryota; Viridiplantae; Streptophyta; Magnoliopsida; Asparagales; Asparagaceae.